GGUGUUGUGGCGGAGUGGUUAACGCGAUUGACUAGAAAUCAAUUUCCUUCGGGAGCACAUGUUCGAAUCAUGUCAACAUCG
This is a transfer RNA of Trichosporon asahii var. asahii CBS 8904, 81 nucleotides long. It matches the Rfam family "tRNA". Rfam says of the family: Transfer RNA (tRNA) molecules are approximately 80 nucleotides in length. Lineage: Eukaryota; Fungi; Basidiomycota; Tremellomycetes; Trichosporonales; Trichosporonaceae. The record is from Rfam.